UUUAACUUAAUACACAGUAUUUAUGUGUUCAUUUCAAUAUAACAUUUCCGUGGCAAGUUUUUCUAUUGUGUGUCAUUCAGUCAUGUUGGGACAAUUUGUUAAACAAUGUAGAGGCAUUUCAUCAUGGAACAACAUCUGAGGUGAUUUACAGUUAUCUUUAAACAGCACACCUGUAAAUUGCUAUAAAUAAUUCUAAUCCUUAUAAAGGAGACAUUAGGGUGCUUCCAGACAGAGGGAAUUAAUGGGGAAGCAGUUGUGGAUGAUCCUGUACAAUACACAGGCCUGCCCAGUCCACAGACAGGUCUGAAAGGAAGUUGUGGGAGGUCCUAUCAAGUUGUGGAAUGACAGAGUUUGGAAGGCAUUUAGCAACAGGUUGGUGUCCAGAGAUCAGUGACAAUCUAGGCUUAAGUACCUUUGAUUCUCUUGAGGCUGUAAUGGAAUUUUUACAGUAAGAUGUUUGCAACAAAGCUUAAUUUGAAAGAGCUUCUCAUUUUUACUCCUCAUCUGUAUCAUGUCUUCAUUCAGCAGCAAGGAUAAAAUGAAGGAAGGCUGUGAAGCAUUGGAAUUGUGGAGACAGAGGAGAGACUUUGAAUGAAGGUGAAGAAAGAAAACAAUGGGUCUAAGGAAAAGUGGGGGAGAAAGAGUAAAUGGGGAAAGGAUACAGUAGGGUCAAAAAGAUCAGAUUUACUGUAAUUUGUGUGUCAACCCAGGCCUUUUUAGGUGGGGGGUGAGAUUCUGACUUAGUUCUGCUAUGAAUAUCCACCUACCUGAAAAAAGAUUUAUUUCUUUUUAAUGAUGCAAUCCUGUAUGUGGAAAAUGGUGAAAAAAGAGGAUCAAGCUCCUAACCAAGGACUGGCCAUGGCAAACCAGACAAAACAUGUACAGUACUUACCCCAGAUGAGUGAUCACCAUGUAGGGAGGCAAAAAACCAGCUAUGAUGGCAGAACCACGUCAAACUACGAAACAAACCUUUUCAGCUCAUAGCGCAGUUAUGAACACUUGCCCUUCAGUGGUGUUAAAGAUCAUUUCCAGGUAGAAAUUCAAAAGGCCCCAGUACAGUGAUCAGAAAAGAUAUGGUGACCCAUAAUUUGGGGCUAUCACAUGCAGGCUUUUACUUCAGCUUGCAAUACCUGUGUAGACAUUGAAACCUUUGCUUCAGAAGUCAAGAGCUGACUUAUCCUUCUGUUACAGCAGAGUUGUCACAAUAAGGAGCUUUAGCAGACACCUGGAGUGGUCUUCAAAGGCUCAGAAAUCAGAGGAAAAAGUAGAAGAGCCUCCUCUUGUCUUCCUUGAACACAGCUCUGACCUACAUCUGAGAUUAGACUGAACCAAACUCACUCCAUUUUAGAGGUGCAAUAGCCUCUUCCUGGCUCAUGUAGUCAACACUAUAACAGGAUCAUGAGUCUGGGUUUGGUUCCACAGACUCUUUCAGCUGAUUAAGACCACUAUAUAUUUCCAGCACCUUUUUCCUUUGAAAAAAGAGUUAACUUCAGUCUCACAGUCCUGAAGAUAUUUCACUCUUGUCUGAUAUUAAGAAAUGUACAACAGGGACUGCAGAGAUGAAUCACAGCAUCUGAUGGGGAGAUUAAACCCAGCAGCUUUCAAGGGAAAGCACAUUGCCUCACUGAUGGAAACGCCCCAGCUCCCUACAGUGGGACGUGGGAUUCAGGAGAAACAGAGAGGGUGACUAAGGCAAGCAUACUUCUUGCAAAUAUAUUAGUUUAGUUUUUUUAAUCUUUUACUUUCCUCGCCUUUAUGGCUUCAUUUUUUAAAUUUACUUUGUAUAGACUAGGAAGUUUUGUGGCAUAGAUAGUUUCAUAAAGUUAUUUUCUAGGCAGGUUCCACAAUCCUGAAUUUUCUAGUCAGGAAGAAGGAGAUAAAAACCCUAGAAUAUGACUUAUAUGAGUGACCUAGGGAUACUGAUUAAACGUCACCUGCUCCAAGGUGGCCUGGUAUGUGUGUGUGGAAAUGUAGUUUCAAGCAGGUGCUCAUGUUUCUGCCAAAAGCAGUGCAGAGCCUAAAUGUGUCGGUGAUGUUGCCCUCCAAGAACAGAGGUUUGUAGAGGCAAAGUAAAAGCAAAGGCCUAAUUAAUCAAAAUAUUCUAAUAUCACAGGGCACCUCUGAGAAUAUCAAGUCUCAGCAGAUGUGAAAGCUCAUUGCAAUUCAGAAUGUAAAAGUUAAAGGGGUUUCUGUGAGAGAGAAGCAACCAGGAGGGGGAAAGCAGGUAAUCCUGAACUUCCCUUAUCCUAAAUAAAUUUUGGUUUAAUCUGUACUGCAAGCAGCUAUCAGUGCCAAGGAAUAUUUUUUCCUGGUACUUGUGUGGAAAGAGAGUGUCCAAUUUCCUCAGCCAAGUGACACUGAGGAGCUGGGAGGCAGACAGCCCUUAUGAAAGCAAACAGCAAAGAACAGCAGUGACCACUGGGCUUCAGGGAGGGCUCUUUGAAGAUGUUUUUAAAGGCAUUGCUAUGGUUAAGUCCAGAUUUAAGUCACUACAAUUGUAAACUGUGAACUUGUGGCCAGAUGGGACAAUGUUUUCUGAGAGUCCAGGAAGACCAGGAGCAGUGUUGCCAGGGAUAGAACAGCUCAGUGCAGGAGGCAGCAGCUUUUCAAAGCUGAUUUACCUCUGUGUAUGGAUAAGUAUGUCCCAAAUGAGGGGCUGGAUGUGCCAGUUACAAAAGCUGCCUCCCAGAGACAAGGGCUACUCUCAUCUGUCCAUCUGGUCCGUAGGAGAUCUCAAUCCUAGCUGGGUUUAGAGCUGAGUCGGAGUCAGGAGCUACUGCCACUCCCAGACACUCCUCUUAGGAUGCUCAAGUUCCCAGCCUCUGGCUCAUCCAUGGCUACAGAAAACCUACUGUGCACAGGUUUUCUGUCCCAUGUCUCUCAUGCUGCAGGAGACCAAGUUGCAGACUAUUUGAGACCAAGUUGCUGGGACUACUUGAGACUUGUCCCCCCCCAGCUCCUGGGGACUCCAGGCCUGAGGAGUCAAAAGAUGGCUCACACAUGGAGCUCUCUAACCCAUUAACAUGUUUAUCUUCAAAGACAGCACAUACAUUCCAUCUACUUGUAAGCAUUUGUGUGGCAAAUUAUGAAGGCAUUACGAAGUUAUGAUGUCAAACAAGACACAGGUUUGUUAAAAAAAAAAAAAAAAA
Molecule: long non-coding RNA, 3149 nt
Organism: Taeniopygia guttata (zebra finch)
Lineage: Eukaryota; Metazoa; Chordata; Aves; Passeriformes; Estrildidae
Source: Ensembl